GGUCGAUUAGCUUAGUUGGUAGAGCGUGGUACUAAUACCUGUUAUACAUGCCAAGGUCAUGGGUUCGAUCCCCAUAUUGACCA
Molecule: transfer RNA, 83 nt
Organism: Melampsora larici-populina 98AG31
Lineage: Eukaryota; Fungi; Basidiomycota; Pucciniomycetes; Pucciniales; Melampsoraceae
Rfam family: tRNA
About the family: Transfer RNA (tRNA) molecules are approximately 80 nucleotides in length. Their secondary structure includes four short double-helical elements and three loops (D, anti-codon, and T loops).
Source: Rfam